AUUGAACGCUGGCGGCAUGCCUUACACAUGCAAGUCGAACGGCAGCACGGGUGCUUGCACCUGGUGGCGAGUGGCGAACGGGUGAGUAAUACAUCGGAACAUGUCCUGUAGUGGGGGAUAGCCCGGCGAAAGCCGGAUUAAUACCGCAUACGAUCCACGGAUGAAAGCGGGGGACCUUCGGGCCUCGCGCUAUAGGGUUGGCCGAUGGCUGAUUAGCUAGUUGGUGGGGUAAAGGCCUACCAAGGCGACGACCAGUAGCUGGUCUGAGAGGACGACCAGCCACACUGGGACUGAGACACGGCCCAGACUCCUACGGGAGGCAGCAGUGGGGAAUUUUGGACAAUGGGCGAAAGCCUGAUCCAGCAAUGCCGCGUGUGUGAAGAAGGCCUUCGGGUUGUAAAGCACUUUUGUCCGGAAAGAAAUCCUUGACUCUAAUACAGUCGGGGGAUGACGGUACCGGAAGAAUAAGCACCGGCUAACUACGUG
RNAcentral lists this ribosomal RNA (486 nucleotides) under uncultured bacterium. RNAcentral's name for it is "partial 16S ribosomal RNA". It matches the Rfam family "Bacterial small subunit ribosomal RNA", at positions 30 to 507 of the family's 1533-position model. The record is from RNAcentral.